This 488-nucleotide ribosomal RNA is filed under the name uncultured bacterium. RNAcentral describes it as "bacterial SSU rRNA". It matches the Rfam family "Bacterial small subunit ribosomal RNA", at positions 30 to 507 of the family's 1533-position model. The record is from RNAcentral.
AUUGAACGCUGGCGGAAUGCUUUACACAUGCAAGUCGAACGGCAGCAUAGAGAGCUUGCUCUCUGAUGGCGAGUGGCGAACGGGUGAGUAAUAUAUCGGAACGUGCCUAGUAAUGGGGAAUAACUAGCUGAAAGGUUAGCUAAUGCCGCAUACGACCUACGGGUGAAAGCAGGGGAUCUUCGGACCUUGCGUUAUUAGAGCGGCCGAUAUCUGAUUAGCUUGUUGGUGGGGUAAUGGCCUACCAAGGCGACGAUCAGUAGCUGGUCUGAGAGGACGAUCAGCCACACUGGAACUGAGACACGGUCCAGACUCCUACGGGAGGCAGCAGUGGGGAAUUUUGGACAAUGGGGGAAACCCUGAUCCAGCCAUUCCGCGUGAGUGAAGAAGGCCUUCGGGUUGUAAAGCUCUUUCGCAAGAGAAGAAAACUUACAAUCUAAUAUAUUGUAAGCAUGACGGUAUCUUGAUAAGAAGCACCGGCUAACUACGUG